GCUUCCUUAGCUCAGUGGUAGAGCAUUGUACUUAUGGGCGCCCUACGUUACCCUUUCCAUGCAAGGGUCACCAGUUCGAACCUGGUAGGAAGCA
RNAcentral lists this transfer RNA (94 nucleotides) under Lentinula raphanica. It matches the Rfam family "tRNA". Rfam says of the family: Transfer RNA (tRNA) molecules are approximately 80 nucleotides in length. Their secondary structure includes four short double-helical elements and three loops (D, anti-codon, and T loops). Further hydrogen bonds mediate the characteristic L-shaped molecular structure. tRNAs have two regions of fundamental functional importance: the anti-codon, which is responsible for specific mRNA codon recognition, and the 3' end, to which the tRNAs corresponding amino acid is attached (by aminoacyl-tRNA synthetases). tRNAs cope with the degeneracy of the genetic code in two manners: having more than one tRNA (with a specific anti-codon) for a particular amino acid; and 'wobble' base-pairing, i.e. permitting non-standard base-pairing at the 3rd anti-codon position. Lineage: Eukaryota; Fungi; Basidiomycota; Agaricomycetes; Agaricales; Omphalotaceae. The record is from Rfam by way of RNAcentral.